UACAGACUAACACGGCUGCUACUCUGAAACCAGCAAUAAUGCAGGCUUCCCUGUGUUGCCCUGUCAAUGCACCUCAACCCUGACCUGGACGGUCCACCUCCAAUGGUCAGA
This 111-nucleotide small RNA is filed under the name Chrysemys picta bellii (western painted turtle). Its description in RNAcentral is "TUC338 (ENSCPBG00000011430.1)". Lineage: Eukaryota; Metazoa; Chordata; Testudines; Emydidae. The record is from RNAcentral.